Molecule: ribosomal RNA, 253 nt
Filed under: uncultured bacterium
Lineage: Bacteria
Description: partial 16S ribosomal RNA
Rfam family: Bacterial small subunit ribosomal RNA
Source: RNAcentral
UACAGAGGUCUCAAGCGUUGUUCGGAUUCAUUGGGCGUAAAGGGCGCGUAGGCGGCGCGCUAAGUCAGGUGUGAAAUUUCGGAGCUUAACUCCGAAACUGCAUUUGAUACUGGCGUGCUUGAGGACUGGAGAGGAGAGUGGAAUUCAUGGUGUAGCAGUGAAAUGCGUAGAGAUCAUGAGGAAGACCAGUGGCGAAGGCGGGGCUCUGGACAGUUCCUGACGCUGAGGCACGAAGGCCAGGGGAGCAAACGGG